This is a non-coding RNA of Pelobates cultripes (western spadefoot toad), 218 nucleotides long. NCBI's taxonomy places the organism in Eukaryota, Metazoa, Chordata, Amphibia, Anura, Pelobatidae. The record is from the annotation of a GenBank genome assembly.
CUUGGCACCCAAACUCUACCCAACCCCUGGUCCCGUUACUCCAAAUAUUCUUCCCUGGCAAUUAAUUUCUCUCCCUUGGAAGGAACCUCAGUUGGAAUCAAUAUACUCAAAAAUAGUUUGACAUAGAACUGGGGGCAGUGCUAGCGAUACAAAGGCACCAUAACCACUGUAGUAGGCCUGAGUUGUUAUAGAGCUUAGAGAGCCGCUUUAAAAAUGUC